AAUCUAGAAUUAAAUUUUUAUUUAAAGUUUGCAACUUUACAUUGUGCUUGUUAUUAGGCUCCUAGAUUA
RNAcentral lists this transfer RNA (69 nucleotides) under Schmidtea mediterranea. RNAcentral describes it as "tRNA-Ala". The record is from RNAcentral. Lineage: Eukaryota; Metazoa; Platyhelminthes; Tricladida; Dugesiidae.